Molecule: ribosomal RNA, 1605 nt
Filed under: Ligilactobacillus ruminis
Lineage: Bacteria; Bacillati; Bacillota; Bacilli; Lactobacillales; Lactobacillaceae
Description: Lactobacillus ruminis partial 16S ribosomal RNA
Rfam family: Bacterial small subunit ribosomal RNA
Source: RNAcentral
GGUACCAGGGGACCUCUAGAGAUUGCAGAGUUCUCGGAGUCACGAAGAGUUUGAUCCUGGCUCAGGACGAACGCUGGCGGCGUGCCUAAUACAUGCAAGUCGAACGAAGUUUUCUUUCACCGAAUGCUUGCAUUCACCGAAAGAAGCUUAGUGGCGAACGGGUGAGUAACACGUAGGCAACCUGCCCAAAAGAGGGGGAUAACACUUGGAAACAGGUGCUAAUACCGCAUAACCAUGAACACCGCAUGAUGUUCAUGUAAAAGACGGCUUUUGCUGUCACUUUUGGAUGGGCCUGCGGCGUAUUAACUUGUUGGUGGGGUAACGGCCUACCAAGGUGAUGAUACGUAGCCGAACUGAGAGGUUGAUCGGCCACAUUGGGGCUGAGACACGGCCCAAACUCCUACGGGAGGCAGCAGUAGGGAAUCUUCCACAAUGGACGAAAGUCUGAUGGAGCAACGCCGCGUGAAUGAAGAAGGCCUUCGGGUCGUAAAAUUCUGUUGUCAGAGAAGAACGUGCGUGAGAGUAACUGUUCACGUAUUGACGGUAUCUGACCAGAAAGCCACGGCUAACUACGUGCCAGCAGCCGCGGUAAUACGUAGGUGGCAAGCGUUGUCCGGAUUUAUUGGGCGUAAAGGGAACGCAGGCGGUCUUUUAAGUCUGAUGUGAAAGCCUUCGGCUUAACCGAAGUAGUGCAUUGGAAACUGGAAGACUUGAGUGCAGAAGAGGAGAGUGGAACUCCAUGUGUAGCGGUGAAAUGCGUAGAUAUAUGGAAGAACACCAGUGGCGAAAGCGGCUCUCUGGUCUGUAACUGACGCUGAGGUUCGAAAGCGUGGGUAGCAAACAGGAUUAGAUACCCUGGUAGUCCACGCUGUAAACGAUGAGUGCUAAGUGUUGGAGGGUUUCCGCCCUUCAGUGCUGCAGCUAACGCAUUAAGCACUCCGCCUGGGGAGUACGGUCGCAAGACUGAAACUCAAAGGAAUUGACGGGGGCCCGCACAAGCGGUGGAGCAUGUGGUUUGAUUCGAAGCAACGCGAAGAACCUUACCAGGUCUUGACAUCUUCUGACAAUUCCAGAGAUGGAACGUUCCCUUCGGGGACAGAAUGACAGGUGGUGCAUGGUUGUCGUCAGCUCGUGUCGUGAGAUGUUGGGUUAAGUCCCGCAACGAGCGCAACCCUUAUUGUCAGUUGCCAUCAUUAAGUUGGGCACUCUGGCGAGACUGCCGGUGACAAACCGGAGGAAGGUGGGGAUGACGUCAAAUCAUCAUGCCCCUUAUGACCUGGGCUACACACGUGCUACAAUGGACGGUACAACGAGUCGCUAACUCGCGAGGGCAAGCUAAUCUCUUAAAGCCGUUCUCAGUUCGGAUUGCAGGCUGCAACUCGCCUGCAUGAAGUCGGAAUCGCUAGUAAUCGCGAAUCAGCAUGUCGCGGUGAAUACGUUCCCGGGCCUUGUACACACCGCCCGUCACACCAUGAGAGUUUGUAACACCCGAAGUCGGUGGGGUAACCUUUUGGAGCCAGCCGCCUAAGGUGGGACAGAUGAUUGGGGUGAAGUCGUAACAAGGUAGCCGUAGUCCUGUGUGAAGUGAUCCGCUAAUCGUCGACC